AUUCCAAUCGAACUCGGAGAUAGCUGGUUCUCCCCGAAAUAGCUUUAGGGCUAGCCUCAUGUUAGAUAUCCGGAGGUAAAGCACUGAAUGGCCUAGCGUCCGAGAGGAUAGCGAAGCCUAUCAAACUAAGAAUGCCGGAAUAUUGAUGCAUGGGAGUCAGACAGUGUGAGAUAAAUCUCAUUGUCAAAAGGGAAACAGCCCAGAUCUACAGCUAAGGUCCCAAAUUGUAUCUAAGUGGAAAACGAUGUGGAAAUACGCAGACAACCAGGAUGUUGGCUCAGAAGCAGCCACUCAUUUAAAGAGUGCGUAAUAGCUCACUGGUCGAGCGUCUCUGCGCGGAAAAUUUAACGGGGCUAAGAUACAAACCGAAGCUUAGGCUGCACUUUUAGUGCGGGGUAGGGGAGCGUUGUGUAAGCGGAGAAACAGUAGCGGAAGCGGCUGUGGAGUUUACAGAAGUGAGAAUGCCGGAAUGAGUAGCGCGAAUGAUGUGAGAAUCAUCAUGGCCGGAAACCUCAGGUUUUUGGAGGAAGGUUCGUCCGCUCCAAGUUAGGCGGGAGCUAAGGUGAGGCCGAAAGGCGUAGCCGAUGCACAGACGGUAGAGAUUCCGUCCCCACCGAAAGAUUUAAGCGCAGGGACACUUUUAGAAGGUCGGAGCCAGGUGUUGGUUCUGGUAGAGAUCGAGGGAAGAUUAGUACCGAAGUCCGGCUGGAUAAGAGGCGAGAAAAGCUGCGUGUAUAUCUAAGGUGCCCGUACCGCAAACCGACACAGGUAGGUAGGAAGAAGAUUCUAAGGCCAACGGGAGAAGGGUUGUUAAGGAACUCGGCAAGUUGACCCCGUAACUUCGGAAUAAGGGGUGCUCACGAGAGUGAGCCGCAGAGAAUAGGCCCAGGCAACUGUUUACCAAAAACACAGGUUUGUGCUAAAUCGAAAGAUGACGUAUACGAGCUGACGCCUGCCCGGUGCUGGAAGGUUAAAAGGAGAUGUGCAAGCAUUGAAUUGAAGCCCCAGUGAACGGCGGCCGUAACUAUAACGGUCCUAAGGUAGCGAAAUUCCUUGUCAGGUAAGUUCUGACCCGCAUGAAAGGCGUAAUGAUCUGGGCACUGUCUCAACAGCCCGCCCGGCGAAAUUGUAGUACCGGUGAAGAUGCCGGUUACCCGCGACAAGACGGAAAGACCCCAUGGAGCUUUACUGUAGCCUGAUAUUGGGUUUCGGUGUUGCAUGCACAGGAUAGAUGGGACGCUGGGAAAGAGUCGCUUUGGCGAUUCUGGAGCGGACGUUGGGAUACCAUCCUUGCGACAUUGGAAUUCUAACCUGCGCCUCUGAAUCGAGGCGGGGGACAUUGUCAGGUGGGCAGUUUGACUGGGGCGGUCGCCUCCUAAAAAGUAGCGGAGGCGUUCAAAGGUUCGUUCGAUCUGGACGGAAACCAGAUGAUUGAGUGCAAACGCAUAAACGAGCCUGACUGCGAGACUGACGGGUCGAGCAGAGACGAAAGUCGGAGUUAGUGAUC
This 1507-nucleotide ribosomal RNA is filed under the name human gut metagenome. RNAcentral describes it as "bacterial LSU rRNA". It matches the Rfam family "Bacterial large subunit ribosomal RNA", at positions 826 to 2420 of the family's 2925-position model. The record is from RNAcentral.